UGGGGAAUAUUGCACAAUGGCCGGAAGUUUGAUGCAGCGACGCCGCGUGGAGGGUGUAGGCCUCCGGGUUGUGAACUCCUUUUUCCCGCGAAAAAGGCACAGUUUUGGCUGUGUUGAUGGUAGUGGGGGUAGAAGCGCCGGCUAACUACGUGCCAGAAGCCGCGGUAAUACGUAGGGCGCGAGCGUUGUCCGGACUUAUUGGGCGUAAAGAGCUCGUAGGUGGUUCGUCGCGUCUGUCGUGAAAGCCAGCAGCUUAACUGUUGGUCUGCGGUGGGUACGGGCGGGCUUGAGUGCGGUAGGGGUGGCUGGAAUUCCUGGUGUAGCGGUGGAAUGCGCAGAUAUCAGGAGAAACACCGAUGGCGAAGGCAGGUCACUGGGCCGUUACUGACACUGAGGGGCGAAAGCGUGGGGAGCGAACAGG
RNAcentral lists this ribosomal RNA (421 nucleotides) under Fusobacteriota bacterium. RNAcentral describes it as "Fusobacteria bacterium partial 16S ribosomal RNA". It matches the Rfam family "Bacterial small subunit ribosomal RNA", at positions 355 to 776 of the family's 1533-position model. Lineage: Bacteria; Fusobacteriati; Fusobacteriota. The record is from RNAcentral.